RNAcentral lists this long non-coding RNA (1935 nucleotides) under Homo sapiens (human). Its description in RNAcentral is "HSALNT0363154". The record is from RNAcentral. Lineage: Eukaryota; Metazoa; Chordata; Mammalia; Primates; Hominidae.
CUGGCCCUCUUCCCCUCCCCCUCCUCCCGCAGCUCCUCCCAGUGCCCCCAGCCUCAGCGGCGCUGGUGCUCCUAGCUCAGAACCUGCCAGGCCUGGCUGCUGGGGGCACCUGUGCCCGGCAGGUAAGUGGCUUUGAGUGACUACAUCCAGCCCCAGCUCUGGAGUACAGCUCUGCCUCCCAGGACUCAGGGAGGGAGACCCUGGGCUUAGGACACUCUUUCUCCUUACUUCCCUGCCCCUGGAGCACCUAGGCCAGCAGGCGAGGGCAGGUGAGGGGUCCCAGAAGAUGCCAUCUGUUUCCGCAACCCCAGCUCUGCAGCCCCAGGACUCUGGGAGAGGGACCCUGGACUCAGGGCACCCCACCUCAGACUCUCCCAUCCCCACCUCCCCGCCCCAGGGCACCAUCUGUGGCCUUAGCUUUAUUGGCAUCUGUUGGGGGACAGAGACAACCCAAGGGGAAGGGCGAGGAGCUGCUUGAGUUCCCAGUGAGGUGGGGAGUGGCCACCUGCUGGGGUUGGUUGAGCCGGGUGCUGGGAUGUGGGCGCUGGGCCUCAAGAGCCUUUGCGCUGUGGGGGAGGCUGAGGCCAUAAAGCAGCUCACACGGGCAGAGGAACGGGAGGGGAGAUGAGGGGGCUGCAGAGCUUGGGGCCCCUGAAACAGGCAUCUGGCGGCCGGCAGAAGAGGCACAGUGACGGGGUGGGGGGAUCCCCAGUAGAGGUCUCUGAGACACCAAUCUCAGAGCCUCCUGCAUCCCCUACCUCGGGCAGUCACAGGGACCCCGUCCCCUGGCUCCCUGAUGUCUUGGGGCUGCCACCCUCUCUUUGGAUCAGGCCCUACCUCUCGCUCCCAAUGGCAUCCCCUUCCUCACUGUCCCGGGGGUCCAGCCCCCAUUUGCUUCCACCUGCCACAGACUCUGCACCAUCCAGAAGGCCCAGUCUCUCUCCUGGAGGCCCUUCCCAGCCCACCCUGCGCAGCUGGCCUCGCCCCCACCCCCCUCUCGGACCCAUGCCCAUGAGCUGCUCGUCACACAGCCCUCCCUACCCUGGCUGAGGCUGGUGUCUCCACAGGGCUGUCUUUCAGGACACAGUUCACAUCUCCUUCCUGAACUUGGGAUGUGUGUAACAGGAAGCAAACACAACGCCAGAGAAAAAAUCAGCCACACCCGGAUCUUAGAGAUGUGGACAUGUUGGCCGGUAGAUGAAAAACGCAGUCAUAGAAAUCAUAAGCAAUCACCAACGAGCUGAGUGCUACAAAACAGAAGUGGAGGAGGGAGACAGAAGAAGAGCCCACUGUCCCCUUCCUGGAAUGACACUCCCUCGUGGUGCCCUACUCCUUCCAAGAUAAAGAAGAGGCACUCCAGGUUUGUCUAAGACCCUGCACACCCAUCCUGGCUGACACCAGCCACCUCAUCUUCCACUAUCCGCCCCCCAGCUUCUGUCCCCCACUCUAACCAAGAAUUCCUGAGCCUCAAAGCCAAGGCUGUUUCACGUCACAGCAACUGUGAGCUUCUGCUGUCUGCAAGAACAUCCCUCCUGCCCCUCCAAGACCCAGGUCAAGAGGCACCUCCCUGAGGAAGCUGAUGUCAAAAUCGACUUGGCCCUCUGUCUUGGGGUCACGAGGUAAUGCCUGCUUCAGCAAGAUCUUGCUAAGCCAUAACUGUCUAGGUGCCCAGCCCCCAUGCUGGAAUUUCAGCUUUGCCAGGGCGAGAUCCAGCAGGGCCCGAUUCACUUCUGGUCCCUGGUGCCCUAAACAGCACCUGGCACACAGUGGACUCCCAGCCAUAUCCCCCGAACUGUGCACAGCCACCAGGCAUGGCUGAGCGGGUUAUUCCAUCAGCUUUGUGGAAUAUCGUGCAGCUGUUAAAACCACAAUUAUGAAGAUGAUUUUUGUUUGUUUUUUAGGGACAAGGUUGCCCAGGCUGGAGUGUAGUGGCAC